RNAcentral lists this ribosomal RNA (433 nucleotides) under uncultured bacterium. RNAcentral's name for it is "partial 16S ribosomal RNA". It matches the Rfam family "Bacterial small subunit ribosomal RNA", at positions 29 to 507 of the family's 1533-position model. The record is from RNAcentral.
AACGAACGCUGGCGGCAUGCCUAACACAUGCAAGUCGAACGAGACCUUCGGGUCUAGUGGCGCACGGGUGCGUAACGCGUGGGAACCUGCCCUUAGGUUCGGAAUAACUCCCCGAAAGGGGUGCUAAUACCGGAUAAUGUCUUCGGACCAAAGAUUUAUCGCCUUUGGAUGGGCCCGCGUUGGAUUAGCUAGUUGGUAGGGUAAAAGCCUACCAAGGCGACGAUCCAUAGCUGGUCUGAGAGGAUGAUCAGCCACGCUGGGACUGAGACACGGCCCAGACUCCUACGGGAGGCAGCAGUGGGGAAUAUUGGACAGUGGGCGAAAGCCUGAUCCAGCAAUGCCGCGUGAGUGAUGAAGGCCUUAGGGUUGUAAAGCUCUUUUACCCGGGAUGAUAAUGACAGUACCGGGAGAAUAAGCUCCGGCUAACUCCGUG